GCGAUGACAGAGUUCUCAACGGAGACGGCGGCGAGUUCGAGGGUUCCAACUUGGCCUGCAAAGACUUGAGUGAUGGCGCCGAGGGAGUACUGACAAAUGGAGGUGAAGAUGGCAGGGCCGGCCAGGUACCAAAGUUUCUUGGACUCCCUGUAGAAUUCUCUAAAGAAAUCACGGAUGCCGUUGAUAGGAGGGAUGUCAUCGGCGUCGGGGACGAAGGAACUAGUGUUUGUUGUUGAUCUGGGAAGUGAGUAUCGCUGGUCUUGAUCCUUAUCACGGGGAUGGUUUUGGUUUUCGUCGUCUCUUGGAGAAAGAAGUGGCUCUCUUGAAUCCUCCAUGUCAAGGAGAGGAGAGAGAUGAGUUUUUCCAAGAGAGACUACGAAUGGUGACUGAUCAAGUAUG
This 399-nucleotide unclassified non-coding RNA is filed under the name Hevea brasiliensis (rubber tree). The record is from RNAcentral. Lineage: Eukaryota; Viridiplantae; Streptophyta; Magnoliopsida; Malpighiales; Euphorbiaceae.